GACGAACGCUGGCGGCGUGCUUAACACAUGCAAGUCGAACGGAAAGGCCCUUCUUUUGUGGGGUGCUCGUGUGGCGAACGUGUGUGUAACACGUGUGUAACCUGCCCUUGACUUUGGUAUAACUUCAGGAAACUGGGGCUUAUACCGGAUAGGAUCUCCUUCUGCAUGGUGGGUUUUGGAGAUUUUCGGCGGUUGGGGAUGGACUCGCGGCUUCUCAGCUUGUUGGUGGGGUAGUGGCUUACCAAGGCUUUGACGGGUCGCCGGCCUGAGAGGGUGACCGGCAACAUGGGGACUGGGAUACGGCCCGAACUCCUACGGGAGGAAGAAGUGGGGAAUAUUGAAAAAGGGGCGGAGGCCGGAGGAAGCAACGCCGGGGGGGGGAGGACGGCCUUGGGGUGGUAAACCGCUUUCGCCUGUGACGAAGCGUGAGUGACGGUAAUGGGUAAAGAAGCACCGGCUAACUACGUG
This 468-nucleotide ribosomal RNA is filed under the name uncultured bacterium. RNAcentral describes it as "partial 16S ribosomal RNA". It matches the Rfam family "Bacterial small subunit ribosomal RNA", at positions 28 to 507 of the family's 1533-position model. The record is from RNAcentral.